CUACGGGAGGCUCCAGUGAGGAAUUUUGCGCAAUGGGGGAAACCCUGACGCAGCAACGCCGCGUGAGUGAUGAAGGCUUUCGGGUCGUAAAGCUCUGUCAAGUGGGAAGAACUGGUUCUAAAAUAAUAAGUUAGAAUCUUGACGGUACCACUGAAGGAAGCACCGGCUAACUCCGUGCCAGCAGCCGCGGUAAUACGGGGGGUGCAAGCGUUAUUCGGAUUUACUGGGCGUAAAGGGCGCGCAGGCGGUCUUUUAAGUCAGAUGUGAAAGCCCGGGGCUCAACCCUGGAAGUGCAUUUGAAACUGAAAGACUUGAGUAUGGGAGAGGGAAGUGGAAUUCCUGGUGUAGAGGUGAAAUUCGUAGAUAUCAGGAGGAACACCGGUGGCGAAGGCGACUUCCUGGACCAAUACUGACGCUGAGGCGCGAAGGCGUGGGUAGCAAACAGGAUUAGAUACCCCCGUAGUC
This 465-nucleotide ribosomal RNA is filed under the name uncultured bacterium. RNAcentral describes it as "partial 16S ribosomal RNA". It matches the Rfam family "Bacterial small subunit ribosomal RNA", at positions 339 to 795 of the family's 1533-position model. The record is from RNAcentral.